Molecule: ribosomal RNA, 472 nt
Filed under: uncultured bacterium
Lineage: Bacteria
Description: SSU rRNA
Rfam family: Bacterial small subunit ribosomal RNA
Source: RNAcentral
AGGAUAAACGCUGGCGGCGUGCCUAACACAUGCAAGUCGAACGUCUCUUCUUUCGGGAAGAGGAGUGGCGGACGGGUGAGGAACACGUGGGAACCUGCCCUACAGUGAGGAAUACCGGCGAGAAAUCGCCGACAAGACCGCAUAGCCCUCUCUGGUGAGAGCCAGAGAAGGAAAGCUUCGCAAGAGGCGCUGGAGGAGGGGCCUGCGUCCGAUUAGCUAGUUGGUGGGGUAAGAGCCUACCAAGGCGUCGAUCGGUAGCUGGUCUGAGAGGACGAUCAGCCACACUGGGAUUGAGAACGGCCCAGACUCCUACGGGGGGCAGCAGUGAGGAAUUUUCGGCAAUGGGGGAAACCCUGACCGAGCAACGCCGCGUGCAGGAAGACGGCCUUCGGGUUGUAAACUGCUUUUCUUUGGGACGAGCAAGGACGGUACCAGAGGAAUCAGCCCCGGCUCACUACGUGCCAGCAGCCGC